GACGAACGCUGGCGGCAUGCCUAAUACAUGCAAGUUGAACGAUGAUAUUCUCUGCUUGCAGAGAAUUGAAGAGUAGCGAACGGGUGAGUAACACGUGGGGAACCUGCCCAUGAGAGGGGGAUAACAUUCGGAAACGGAUGCUAAUACCGCAUAAUGCUUUGGACCGCCUGGUCCAGAGACGAAAGACGGCUUUUGCUGUCACUCAUGGAUGGCCCCGCGCCGUAUUAGCUAGUUGGUGAGGUAAUGGCUCACCAAAGCUGUGAUACGUAGCCGACCUGAGAGGGUGAUCGGCCACACUGGGACUGAGACACGGCCCAGACUCCUACGGGAGGCAGCAGUAGGGAAUCUUCCACAAUGGGCGAAAGCCUGAUGGAGCAAUGCCGCGUGAAUGAAGAAGGUCUUCGGAUCGUAAAGUUCUGUUAUUAGAGAAGAACAAGUCAAGGAGUAACUGUCUUGACCUUGACGGUACCUAACCAGAAAGUCACGGCUAACUACGUG
Molecule: ribosomal RNA, 498 nt
Filed under: uncultured bacterium
Lineage: Bacteria
Description: partial 16S ribosomal RNA
Rfam family: Bacterial small subunit ribosomal RNA
Source: RNAcentral